Molecule: transfer RNA, 69 nt
Filed under: Panulirus polyphagus
Lineage: Eukaryota; Metazoa; Arthropoda; Malacostraca; Decapoda; Palinuridae
Description: tRNA-Ser
Source: RNAcentral
GAUUAAUUAGUUUAUGGAAAACCGGCGUUUUGAAAACGCCUAAAAAGAGAUACUUACUCUUAUUAAUCG